AGCGAACGCUGGCGGCAGGCCUAACACAUGCAAGUCGAACGAACUCUUCGGAGUUAGUGGCGGACGGGUGAGUAACACGUGGGAACGUGCCUUUUGGUUCGGAAUAACUCAGGGAAACUUGUGCUAAUACCGAAUGUGCCCUUCGGGGGAAAGAUUUAUCGCCAUUAGAGCGGCCCGCGUCUGAUUAGCUAGUUGGUUAGGUAACGGCUCACCAAGGCGACGAUCAGUAGCUGGUCUGAGAGGAUGACCAGCCACACUGGGACUGAGACACGGCCCAGACUCCUACGGGAGGCAGCAGUGGGGAAUCUUGCGCAAUGGGCGAAAGCCUGACGCGGCCAUGCCGCGUGAAUGAUGAAGGUCUUAGGAUUGUAAAAUUCUUUCACCGGGGACGAUAAUGACGGUACCCGGAGAAGAAGCCCCGGCUAACUUCGUG
RNAcentral lists this ribosomal RNA (433 nucleotides) under uncultured bacterium. Its description in RNAcentral is "partial 16S ribosomal RNA". It matches the Rfam family "Bacterial small subunit ribosomal RNA", at positions 29 to 507 of the family's 1533-position model. The record is from RNAcentral.